RNAcentral lists this ribosomal RNA (554 nucleotides) under uncultured fungus. Its description in RNAcentral is "eukaryotic LSU rRNA". The stretch from base 169 to 322 matches the Rfam family "5.8S ribosomal RNA". The record is from RNAcentral. Lineage: Eukaryota; Fungi.
UCCGGUUAGAGUGAACCAGCAGGAGGGAUCAUUACCGAGUUUACAACUCCCAAACCCCUGUGAACAUACCAUUUGUUGCCUCGGCGGUGCCUGCUUCGGCAGUCCGCCAGAGGACCCAAACCCUUGAUUUUAUACAGUAUCUUCUGAGUAAAUGAUUAAAUAAAUCAAAACCUUCAACAACGGAUCUCUUGGUUCUGGCAUCGAUGAAGAACGCAGCGAAAUGCGAUAAGUAAUGUGAAUUGCAGAAUUCAGUGAAUCAUCGAAUCUUUGAACGCACAUUGCGCCCGCCAGUAUUCUGGCGGGCAUGCCUGUUCGAGCGUCAUUUCAACCCUCAAGCCCCCGGGCUUGGUGUUGGAGAUCGGCGUGCCCUCCGGGGCGCGCCGGCUCCCAAAUAUAGUGGCGGUCUCGCUGUAGCUUCCUCUGCGUAGUAGCACACCUCGCACUGGGAAACAGCGUGGCCACGCCGUUAAACCCCCCACUUUCUGAAAGGUUGACCUCGGAUCAGGUAGGAAUACCCGCUGAACUCAAGAGUCAUAUCUAUAAGCGGGAAAAAA